This 484-nucleotide ribosomal RNA is filed under the name uncultured bacterium. RNAcentral describes it as "partial 16S ribosomal RNA". It matches the Rfam family "Bacterial small subunit ribosomal RNA", at positions 30 to 507 of the family's 1533-position model. The record is from RNAcentral.
AUUGAACGCUGGCGGCAGGCCUAACACAUGCAAGUCGAGCGGAUGAAGGGAGCUUGCUCCUGGAUUCAGCGGCGGACGGGUGAGUAAUGCCUAGGAAUCUGCCUGGUAGCGGUGGAUAACGUCCGGAAACGGGCGCUAAUACCGCAUACGCCCUGAGGGAGAAAGUGUGGGAUCUUGGGACCUCACGCUAUCAGAUGAGCCUAGGUCGGAUUAGCUAGUUGGUGGGGUAAAGGCCUACCAAGGCGACGAUCCGUAACUGGUCUGAGAGGAUGAUCAGUCACACUGGAACUGAGACACGGUCCAGACUCCUACGGGAGGCAGCAGUGGGGAAUAUUGGACAAUGGGCGAAAGCCUGAUCCAGCCAUGCCGCGUGUGUGAAGAAGGUCUUCGGAUUGUAAAGCACUUUAAGUGGGGAAGAAGGGCAGUAAGUUAAUACCUUGCUGUUUUGACGUUACCAACAGAAUAAGCACCGGCUAACUUCGUG